CGACCGGCGCACGGGUGAGUAACACGUAUCCAACCUGCCGUCUACUCUUGGACAGCCUUCUGAAAGGAAGAUUAAUACAAGAUGGCAUCGUGAGUCCGCAUGUUCACAUGAUUAAAGGUAUUCCGGUAGACGAUGGGGAUGCGUUCCAUUAGAUAGUAGGCGGGGUAACGGCCCACCUAGUCUUCGAUGGAUAGGGGUUCUGAGAGGAAGGUCCCCCACAUUGGAACUGAGACACGGUCCAAACUCCUACGGGAGGCAGCAUG
RNAcentral lists this ribosomal RNA (263 nucleotides) under uncultured bacterium. RNAcentral describes it as "partial 16S ribosomal RNA". It matches the Rfam family "Bacterial small subunit ribosomal RNA", at positions 92 to 353 of the family's 1533-position model. The record is from RNAcentral.